RNAcentral lists this ribosomal RNA (253 nucleotides) under uncultured bacterium. RNAcentral describes it as "partial 16S ribosomal RNA". It matches the Rfam family "Bacterial small subunit ribosomal RNA", at positions 524 to 776 of the family's 1533-position model. The record is from RNAcentral.
GACGAACCGAGCGAACGUUAUUCGGAAUCACUGGGCUUAAAGGGCGCGUAGGCGGGCGAUCAAGUCAGGGGUGAAAGCCUCCAGCUCAACUGGAGAAGUGCCUCUGAUACUGGUCAUCUCGAGGGAGGUAGGGGCGUGCGGAACUUCCGGUGGAGCGGUGAAAUGCGUAGAUAUCGGAAGGAACACCGGUGGCGAAAGCGGCGCGCUGGACCUCUUCUGACGCUGAGGCGCGAAAGCCAGGGGAGCGAACGGG